CCUACGGGUGGCAGCAGUGGGGAAUAUUGCACAAUGGGCGCAAGCCUGAUGCAGCCAUGCCGCGUGUGUGAAGAAGGCCUUCGGGUUGUAAAGCACUUUCAGCGGGGAGGAAGGCGGUGAGGUUAAUAACCUCAUCGAUUGACGUUACCCGCAGAAGAAGCACCGGCUAACUCCGUGCCAGCAGCCGCGGUAAUACGGAGGGUGCAAGCGUUAGUCGGAAUUACUGGGCGUAAAGCGCACGCAGGCGGUCUGUCAAGUCGGAUGUUAAAUCCCCGGGCUCAACCUGGGAACUGCAUGCGAAACUGGCAGGCUAGAGUCUUGUAGAGGGGGGUAGAAUUCCAGGUGUAGCGGUGAAAUGCGUAGAGAUCUGGAGGAAUACCGGUGGCGAAGGCGGCCCCCUGGACAAAGACUGACGCUCAGGUGCGAAAGCGUGGGGAGCAAACAGGAUUAGAUACCCUAGUAGUC
This 465-nucleotide ribosomal RNA is filed under the name uncultured Klebsiella sp. RNAcentral describes it as "bacterial SSU rRNA". It matches the Rfam family "Bacterial small subunit ribosomal RNA", at positions 338 to 795 of the family's 1533-position model. Lineage: Bacteria; Pseudomonadati; Pseudomonadota; Gammaproteobacteria; Enterobacterales; Enterobacteriaceae. The record is from RNAcentral.